This 301-nucleotide ribosomal RNA is filed under the name uncultured bacterium. RNAcentral describes it as "partial 16S ribosomal RNA". It matches the Rfam family "Bacterial small subunit ribosomal RNA", at positions 509 to 808 of the family's 1533-position model. The record is from RNAcentral.
CAGUAGCCGCGGUAAUACGUAUGUCACAAGCGUUAUCCGGAUUUAUUGGGCGUAAAGCGCGUCUAGGCGGUUAUGUAAGUCUGAUGUGAAAAUGCAGGGCUCAACUCUGUAUUGCGUUGGAAACUGUGUAGCUAGAGUACUGGAGAGGUAAGCGGAACUACAAGUGUAGAGGUGAAAUUCGUAGAUAUUUGUAGGAAUGCCGAUGGGGAAGCCAGCUUACUGGACAGAUACUGACGCUGAAGCGCGAAAGCGUGGGUAGCAAACAGGAUUAGAUACCCGCGUAGUCCCUGUCUCUUAUACA